UGCAACCUGAGCUCAGUCGUGAUUACCCGCUGAACUUAAGCAUAUCACUUAGCGGAGGAAAAGAAACUA
RNAcentral lists this ribosomal RNA (69 nucleotides) under Oesophagostomum stephanostomum. Its description in RNAcentral is "partial 28S ribosomal RNA". It matches the Rfam family "Eukaryotic large subunit ribosomal RNA", at positions 1 to 67 of the family's 3401-position model. Lineage: Eukaryota; Metazoa; Nematoda; Chromadorea; Rhabditida; Strongylidae. The record is from RNAcentral.